Molecule: ribosomal RNA, 447 nt
Filed under: uncultured bacterium
Lineage: Bacteria
Description: bacterial SSU rRNA
Rfam family: Bacterial small subunit ribosomal RNA
Source: RNAcentral
GCCAGACUCCUACGGGAGGCAGCAGUGGGGAAUAUUGCACAAUGGGGGAAACCCUGAUGCAGCGACGCCGCGUGAGCGAUGAAGUAUUUCGGUAUGUAAAGCUCUAUCAGCAGGGAAGAAGAUGACGGUACCUGACUAAGAAGCCCCGGCUAACUACGUGCCAGCAGCCGCGGUAAUACGUAGGGGGCAAGCGUUAUCCGGAUUUACUGGGUGUAAAGGGAGCGUAGACGGCAGUGCAAGUCCGGAGUGAAAGCCCGGGGCUCAACCCUGGGACUGCUCUGGAAACUGUAAAGCUGGAGUGCGGGAGGGGCAGGCGGAAUUCCUGGUGUAGCGGUGAAAUGCGUAGAUAUCAGGAGGAACACCGGUGGCGAAGGCGGCCUGCUGGACUGCAACUGACGUUGAGGCCCGAAAGCGUGGGGAGCAAACAGGAUUAGAUACCCCUGUAUG